UUUUAUUGUUACUUCUUUUACCUUCAAUAAAUUCAUUUUAUACUUAUCUACCUAUCGAAGUCCUGAUGGGGUCCUGAUGCUUGGUGAUACUUCGAUCCUGAGAAGGAGAUAUUAGCCCUCUAUCUACUUCGCUGGAUGCAUCUUUAUUUUACUUCAACUUCUUGUGAGUGCAUUCUAUAGCAGGGAAUAUUAUUUUCCAUAAACUGUAUUACGCUAUGUUCUGUUUAUUUAUUACCUUUUAGGAAGAUCAGCUGAAUCCCAGGUGUAUUGUAUAUAUUUCUAUGGCUUGUUAAGACCACUAUCUGGGAGGUGAUCUGUGG
Molecule: non-coding RNA, 320 nt
Organism: Pelobates cultripes (western spadefoot toad)
Lineage: Eukaryota; Metazoa; Chordata; Amphibia; Anura; Pelobatidae
Source: the annotation of a GenBank genome assembly